UCUAUGACCCAUAAUAAUCGGAUACUAAAAACUACUGUUUAAAAUUCAAAGAACUUGGCGGUGUCUUAUAUAAUCAGGGGAACCUGUCCCUUAAUUCGAUAAUCCACGAAUGAUUAACCUCUCUUGAUAUUCAGCUUAUGUACGGCCGUCGCCAGUAUACCUUAGAAAGAAGUAUACAAGAAUAAAUCUACAGACGUCAGGUCAAAGUGUAGCUAAUGAGAAGGAGGAGAUGGGUUACAAUUUUAAUUAAAAACUGCCCCAUAAUUAUAAUUAUGGUCAAAGUUGGACUUGACAGUAAUAAGUAAUACUAAGUACUUAUGAACUAGAAUCUAAGACAUGCACACAUCGCCCGUCACUCUCAUCGAAAGAAG
RNAcentral lists this ribosomal RNA (371 nucleotides) under Baltidrilus costatus. Its description in RNAcentral is "partial 12S ribosomal RNA". It matches the Rfam family "Bacterial small subunit ribosomal RNA", at positions 875 to 1415 of the family's 1533-position model. Lineage: Eukaryota; Metazoa; Annelida; Clitellata; Tubificida; Naididae. The record is from RNAcentral.